UACGAAGGGGGCUAGCGUUGUUCGGAAUUACUGGGCGUAAAGCGUAUGCAGGCGGAUCAUUAAGAUCGGGGGUGAAAUCCUGAGGCUCAACCUCAGAACUGCCUUCGAUACUGAUGAUCUUGAGUCCGGGAGAGGUGAGUGGAACUGCGAGUGUAGAGGUGAAAUUCGUAGAUAAUUCGCAAGACACCAGUGGCGAAGGCGGCUCACUGGCCCGGUACUGACGCUGAGAAUACGGAAAGCGUGGGGAGCAAACAGG
Molecule: ribosomal RNA, 256 nt
Filed under: uncultured bacterium
Lineage: Bacteria
Description: partial 16S ribosomal RNA
Rfam family: Bacterial small subunit ribosomal RNA
Source: RNAcentral